AUGAAGUUAAGCCGGGUACUUGUGAAGUGGUGGCGGCUCAUCGUUGCUGUAAUAAGAAUAAAAUCGAAGAGAGAUCUCAGACGGUCAUGUGCUCCUGUCUGCCUGGACAGGUUGCUGGCACCACCCAUUCCCAACCCUCAUGUGUGGAUGCUUCUGUCGUUCAGUCGAAGUGGUGGUGUCAGAUGGAGCCGUGUUUAACCGGUGAGAAGUGUAAAGUGUUGCCUGACCUUACCGGCUGGUCCUGCAGCUCGGGGAACAAAAUCAAAACUACCAAGGUCACGCGGUAGAUGAAAUCUUCACACCUCAGACCGCGGACGUGAUGACAGCUCAUAAUUUCACAGGAACAUAUUUUUAAAUGAAAUGCAACAAAUGUCAACAAAAUUGCACGCUGUCGGCAAAAACAUGCAAACUGUGAACUAAAAAUGUGUUAGUCAGUUGUGCUGUUAUCAGUUUGAGUGAAAACCUUAUGUAAGAAAAAAGAAAAUGGUUUUAUGUCAAAUGUAACAUUUUGUUUUA
Molecule: long non-coding RNA, 516 nt
Organism: Triplophysa rosa
Lineage: Eukaryota; Metazoa; Chordata; Actinopteri; Cypriniformes; Nemacheilidae
Exons: 3
Source: RefSeq, a predicted model, not a curated record